RNAcentral lists this ribosomal RNA (301 nucleotides) under uncultured bacterium. Its description in RNAcentral is "partial 16S ribosomal RNA". It matches the Rfam family "Bacterial small subunit ribosomal RNA", at positions 509 to 807 of the family's 1533-position model. The record is from RNAcentral.
CAGCCGCCACGGUAAUACGAAGGGUGCAAGCGUUAAUCGGAGUUACUGGGCGUAAAGCGUGCGUAGGCGGUGAGUUAAGUCUGCUGUGAAAUCCCCGGGCUCAACCUGGGAAUGGCAGUGGAUACUGGCUCGCUAGAGUGUGUCAGAGGAUGGUGGAAUUCCCGGUGUAGCGGUGAAAUGCGUAGAGAUCGGGAGGAACAUCAGUGGCGAAGGCGGCCAUCUGGGACAACACUGACGCUGAGGCACGAAAGCGUGGGGAGCAAACAGGAUUAGAUACCCGAGUAGUCCCUGUCUCUUAUAC